GAUGAACGCUGGCGGCGUGCCUAAUACAUGCAAGUCGAGCGAACGGACGAGAAGCUUGCUUCUCUUAUGUUAGCGGCGGACGGGUGAGUAACACGUGGAUAACCUGCCUAUGAGACUGGGAUAACUUCGGGAAACCACAGCUAAUACCGCAUGAGAUUGUGAACCGGAUGGUGCAUAAGUGAAAGAGGUUCUUGCUGUCACUUAUAGAUUGAUCCCCGCUGCAUUAGCUAGUUGGUAAGGUAACGACUUACGAAGGCAACGAUGCAUAGCCGACCUGAGAGGGUGAUCGGCCACACUGGCAGUGAGACACGGCCCAGACUCCUACGGGGGGCAGCAGUAGGGACUCUUACGCAAUGGGCGAAAGCCUGACGGAGCAACGCCGCGUGAGUGCUGAAGGUCUUAGGAUCGUAAAACUCUGUAAGUAGGGAAGAACAUAUGUGUAAGUAUCAGUGACCAUAUUGACGGUACCUAACCAGAAAGCACCGGCUAACUACGUG
RNAcentral lists this ribosomal RNA (497 nucleotides) under uncultured bacterium. RNAcentral's name for it is "partial 16S ribosomal RNA". It matches the Rfam family "Bacterial small subunit ribosomal RNA", at positions 28 to 507 of the family's 1533-position model. The record is from RNAcentral.